This 253-nucleotide ribosomal RNA is filed under the name uncultured bacterium. RNAcentral describes it as "partial 16S ribosomal RNA". It matches the Rfam family "Bacterial small subunit ribosomal RNA", at positions 524 to 776 of the family's 1533-position model. The record is from RNAcentral.
UACGGAGGGUGCAAACGUUGCUCGGAAUUAUUGAGCGUAAAGCGCACGUAGGCGGCUCGUUAAGUCGGAUGUGAAAUCCCUCGGCUCAACCGAGGAAGUGCAUCCGAAACUGGCGAGCUUGAAUAUGGAAGAGGGUCGCGGAAUUCCCGGUGUAGAGGUGAAAUUCGUAGAUAUCGGGAGGAACACCAGUGGCGAAGGCGGCGACCUGGGCCAAUAUUGACGCUGAGGUGCGAAAGCGUGGGGAGCAAACAGG